This 497-nucleotide ribosomal RNA is filed under the name uncultured bacterium. RNAcentral describes it as "partial 16S ribosomal RNA". It matches the Rfam family "Bacterial small subunit ribosomal RNA", at positions 28 to 507 of the family's 1533-position model. The record is from RNAcentral.
GAUGAACGCUGGCGGCGUGCCUAAUACAUGCAAGUCGAGCGAACGGACGAGACGCUUGCUUUUCUGAUGUUAGCGGCGGACGAGUGAGUAACACGCGGCUAACCUCCCUAUAAGACUGGGAUAACUUCUGGAAACCUGAGCUAAUACCGGAUAAUAUUUUGAACCGCAUUGUUCAAAAGUGAAAGACGGUCUUGCUGUCACUUAUAGAUGGAUCCGCGCUGCAUUAUCUAGGUGGUAAGGUAACGGCUUACCAAGGCAACGAUGCAUAGCCGACCUGAGAUGGGGGUCGGACACACCAGAACUGUGACGCGGUACAGACUACUAUGGGAGGCGGCAGAAGGGUAUCUUACGCAAUGGGCGGAAGCGUGGAGGAACCACGCCGCGUCGGUGACAGAGAUCUUCGCAUCGUAAAUCUCUGCUAUUAGGGAAGAAGAUAUGUGUAAGGAACUGUGCAGAUCUUGACGGUACCAAAUCAGUAAGCAACGGCUAACUCCGUG